UUACAAUAAAAUCACACAGACCACUCACUGUCUUGAGUAUCUCUAAGGUAUCAUAUACUUUCUAAUAUCAAUGCAAACCUCUGAUCCUAUUAAAAAGUAGGAAUUGUGUGUGCAUUUGGACAAUUGUUAGUGGUGAAAAAAGCAGAAGUGUUAAUAUGAUGAUUCUAGAACUGCUCUAUUAGACCACUUUUAUGGCUCUUUUACUUGUCUAAAAAAAGGUCUCUCUUCAAAAUCAAUAUUGUCAUUACCUUGGAGAAGUGUGUAUGUGUGUGUGUGUGUGUGUGUGUGUGUGUGUGUGUGUGUGUAGUCAACCAGGCAAUAGCAAAAACCUAUCACCCAGUCUUCAGUAAUAAGGUACGUGUAAAGAAUCAGAAUAACUGGAAGAUAUUUAUAAAGUGUAAACCCUCUGGUUUCAUAAACCAUGCUAGGCUGUUAUUUGCUCAGGUUUAUUCUACAAACCACUGAAUGUACAAGGCUUUCAACUCUCUGCCAUCCUGGACUGAUGAAGGGUGAUUAGCAAUACCAUUAACAAAUAAGACAAGAGGAAAAGGAAAAAGAAAGUAAGACCUGUGUUCAUUAUAUCUGCCAUUUGCUGCCUAUUUAAAAUUCAGUUGCUCACAACAAAUUGCUAUCUCAUGGAUACUAUCCCAUGUUUGGGAUGCUUUGUUGUAUAUUCCCUUUUGCCUAAGAUACUGCAUUCUCAGCAGUCUGGGAGUCCUGCCUUCUCUUUCUAAUUCCAUGGGUGCUUUCUGGUAAGCACACUCAAAGGUGUUAUUGUAUUUUCCUUCAAAAGCCUUUUCCAUCUAAGUACCAUGUCCCACGUGCAUCAGGUACCACCUAUGCUUCUCCUCUGAGGCUAUGUGUGUGCUUUCAUUAGAAUUCCAACUGCAUAGUUGGCCAGUGUCCUUCCAUCUGUUGAUAAGCUGCAGCGUCUUGGCCGUGCUUUUCGGAAUUAUCCACCAAACUGACUGAUGCUUCAACAAAAGCCUCAAAUUCUUUCUCUGGGUCCUGAGUUGGCACAUUAUCUUACUCAUUUUAGUUGUUCAUGUGUUACACUUAAUUGAGCUCAUAGCCUUUAAUUUUUUUGUGAACUGACUCAGUCAGAAAAUUCCAAAUGUCUGCAAUAGGAUGUACUUGUUCAUACAUUAUCUUUCUUGAGCUUUAGGCUUUGCAAAGCUGAAAUCCCGGGUUCCUGAAGUUUACCUGUUUAUGAGGGAUUGCUAUCUUGUGUCUCUAGUUUAUUCCUUAGGCUGUCAUUUUUAAUAUUGCUCUCUCCUGUUUCUUUUUAUGGAUUCACAGCAUCUUCCUUCUCUGUAAUCAUCUUUUUCUCCUGGCUUACUUGUUUGAGGAGGAUAUUUUAGGGUCAUCCCUUACAGUUUUGUGAUACAUAUCCAUCUUGAACCAAAUGUUCUGUGCUUUCGUGGUUCUCUACUGCCUGGAAAUGCUAAGGUUCUUGAGGACAAGGAACAUAUGGUAUUUCAUACUCCAAAAGCUUUAUGAAGUAUCAUGCUCAUAGCAUCUGCCCAGUGAAUUUUCCUAGUGAUAACUGGAUCCACAUUAACUCUUUAAGGAUCUUCAAUCUGUUUCAACUUCUUGUUUUGUAUUCUUGUCAUUCAUUUUUUUAACCUAUAGAUACGUUCUCUUUAGGAGAACAAGACAUUGCAAAGUACACUGAGUACAACAGCCUGAAGGAAAGAGAGACACUUGUGCCCCUCCCUUUGGCUAUCAGACUAUGGACUUAAUGGCCUGAAGAUACUGAAAUCCCACUAAUAACCCCAUACUGAGAAAAGAAAAGCCUAAAUUCAGGUCCAGCCAGAAGGGGGAGCUUGUCUCUCCAGGCAAGAAAUUUACCACUUGUCAGAGAAUCUUCCAGGAGACAUGGAAGCCCAGAUGGUUGGUAAGAUCAUACCUUGACUUAGAUUGCUCAGUUAUGUCUAACUCUGGCCCUGCCGUUAAACCCUUCUUGCAGAUUUUGAUAACAGGCUUAUGUCUUGUCCACUUUAGCCAUGUCUGGGAGCACAUGGAAAAUACUCUGAUGCCUCAUGCACUUAUAGAAAGUGUGCAGAAGAUUGGGAAUGCAAACACCCUUGCAGUGAUCUAGUUACAUAUAAAACAAACAGUAGUUUGAAUGAAAAGGUUUGUGAUAACUAGGCAUUGUAGCCAUUUUCUAUAUGCUGAACUGAAAAUCCAAAUGUCUAUAACUAAUGGCUUAGAUAGCUGAAUAAAGUGCCCAUAUCAGUUUCCAGUUGUCCUUAAUAUAUCUUAUCUGUGAAUAAGACUGGAAUGUGUGCCUGCACCAAUAAGCAGCUAAAUCCUACCUGAGCUGCAUAUGUAUAAUUCUCUCUGAGUUCAAUGUAAGGCCAAGCAUUACUUAAUUUAGUAAAUAAUAUGCUUUCAUCAGCAGCAUGUAUAUCACUGUUAUACAUGUUUUGAAAAAUAAAGCUAUCAUUGCUAUUUGCUACAAUCAACAGAGAGUACUCAAUAGCAAUAUAUUUAAAUGAUGCUAUUAAUCAUUUAUGGCCUCAUGUAUAUGCCGUUCCAAGUUGGUUCUGUUAAAUACAAUGUUAUAGAAAGAAUCUUCUGUUGUUCCAGUGAAAACUACACUAAAUAAAAUGAAGGAGAAAUCACUGCAAUGCAAUUUAUAAAAACUGGAAAUCUUGUCACUUAACUUCCAGCCAGGCUUCACUGCAGUUAAUCUGCCCAGUGGCCCAAGACACAAUAUAAAACAUGAAGAGUCCUUAAUAGUAAACAACUGUGACAGGCCACAGUGUCAGAAUUCAGCCUGGAAUACUAGGAGUGAAAGGGAAGGCAGGGCAGCAUCUUUCCUGUAUUCUCACUAAACUGAGUCUCUUUGGAUCCAAGAAGAGCACCCUUAGUUCAGAGACAGUGUAUGGGUUUGAAGUUUAAACAGUGCAAUGCUGGGUUACUGUAAGCUUUCCCAUUGUAAAGUCACUCUGUGCUUGCAAACUGAGCACAAGCCUCUCUGUUGAUUGAAAAUCAAGGUGCUUUCCUAAGAAAGUUACACUGUAACACUUUAGUUAUGUCUCAGAGAAGUGUUAGACCUGCCUGGAUUUACUUUUCCAUUCAUAACUAGAGGUUUUGAGCCUAGUGCUUCCCACUUGCCAGAUGGUUGCAAUUGGUAAUAAGCCAGUGAAUCCUUCAAGCUUAGCUUUGUGAUGCUAGCAAGGGAAUUAUCCUUGGAACUGGAAUCUUCUUUGGUAAAAGAUCCACUUGAGUAAAAAAAAAAAUCCCC
RNAcentral lists this long non-coding RNA (3253 nucleotides) under Mus musculus (house mouse). RNAcentral describes it as "long non-coding RNA chrX:69439023-69442276". The record is from RNAcentral. Lineage: Eukaryota; Metazoa; Chordata; Mammalia; Rodentia; Muridae.